This 497-nucleotide ribosomal RNA is filed under the name uncultured bacterium. RNAcentral describes it as "partial 16S ribosomal RNA". It matches the Rfam family "Bacterial small subunit ribosomal RNA", at positions 28 to 507 of the family's 1533-position model. The record is from RNAcentral.
GAUGAACGCUGGCGGUGUGCCUAAUACAUGCAAGUCGAGCGAACAGACGAGGAGCUUGCUCCUUUGACGUUAGCGGCGGACGGGUGAGUAACACGUGGAUAACCUACCUAUAAGACUGGGAUAACUUCGGGAAACCGGAGCUAAUACCGGAUAACAUGUUGAACCGCAUGGUUCAACAGUGAAAGACGGUUUUGCUGUCACUUAUAGAUGGAUCCGCGCCGCAUUAGCUAGUUGGUAAGGUAACGGCUUACCAAGGCAACGAUGCGUAGCCGACCUGAGAGGGUGAUCGGCCACACUGGAACUGAGACACGGUCCAGACUCCUACGGGAGGCAGCAGUAGGGAAUCUUCCGCAAUGGGCGAAAGCCUGACGGAGCAACGCCGCGUGAGUGAAGAAGGUCUUCGGAUCGUAAAACUCUGUUAUUAGGGAAGAACAAAUGUGUAAGUAACUAUGCACGUCUUGACGGUACCUAAUCAGAAAGCCACGGCUAACUACGUG